Molecule: RNA transcript, 4525 nt
Organism: Passer montanus (Eurasian tree sparrow)
Lineage: Eukaryota; Metazoa; Chordata; Aves; Passeriformes; Passeridae
Gene: CREBZF
Gene name: CREB/ATF bZIP transcription factor
Exons: 3
Source: RefSeq, a predicted model, not a curated record
AUCAAACACAUUGACUAUCAAAACUUUUUACUAUUUAUAUGUUUUAGCAAACAAGGGAAUUGGUGUUACAAGCUAAAAGUUAUCUAGUUAUCUUAUUAAUUUGUAUUCUCUCACUUGAUGGUUCUCUCUUGCUCAUUAGUCUGCAUGCUCAGUCUUUCUCUUUUUUUGGGGUCGGUGGUCCAUGAGUUGGUAGGUGGGAUAUCCCCCUGCUGGAAUUAUAUUUUACCCAGUCGGAACUGAUUCAGCACAGUUGCCCCGUUGGGUUUAUUAAUUUAUUCCUUAUCGUGGGAGUUCUGCCCGCUGUCCUUGUGGCCCGUCAAUUCUGCAUUCUUUGUGUCCGCUAUCAGCAGUACAUCCUUCUUCCCUAGCUUCGUUACCCUCCCCCUAGGUCUGAGGUCAUUGAAACACGUUGAGCCCUAGACCUUAAGAAGGCAAUUCCAGUGACAAUUCAUUUGUCCUUCUAACCCCUGGAAAUCCCUUAGAGCUCAUUGGCUGCUCCCUGUUUCAUGGAUCUCCCUUCUCGUUGUUUAGGUUUGAAAGCACACAAAUGUCAAAGAACAUUCUCUCUCAAGAAAAUCUUUACCUAUGCCGCACUUGGUAACAUUUCCCCCCUCACCCCCUCCCUCAUUCCCAGAGGCCGCUUUCCCGCGCGCGGGCGCAGUCGCGAGGCGCUCCCCCCGCGCCGCUUCCCGGCAGGCUGCGCGCGGGAGCGCCGGGCGCCGCCCGGGCGCCUCGGAGCCGCGGCGGCAGGAGAAGGAGGCCGAGGCGCCCGGCGGCCCGCUGGAGGUGUGGGAGCAAGAGGACUGGUUCCCGGGGCUGGAGCUGGGAGACCUGCUGGAGGCGGCCCGGCCGGACUGGGACCUGGACGCGGAGCUGAGCGACUGCUUCUGUGGGGAACCGGAGCCGCUGCCCGCGCCGGGCAAGGGCCCGCGGCCGGCGGCGCCCGGGCGGAGGAGCGGCGGGGCCGGGAGUCGGCUGAAGGCGGCGGCGGCGGCGCGGUUGAACCGGCUGAAGAAGAAGCAGUACGUGCUGGGGCUGGAGAGCCGCCUGCAGGGCCUGGCUGCCGAGAACCGGCAGCUGCGGGACCGCAACCGCGGCCUGAGCCGCCGCCUGCGAGAGCUGGAGCGGGAGAGCAGCUACCUGCGGGCUGUGCUGGCCAACCAGAGCGCGCUGGGGCAGCUCUUGAGCCGCCUGGCCGGGACCCGCGCCGGCGGGCUGCAGCUCAGCACCAGCCUCUUCAGGGACACGGGCAGCCGCCAGCAGCAGCAGCAGCUCCAGCCCGCCGGCGAGAGCAGCGACCACGACUACGCCCUGCCCAGCUCCCGGCCCCGCGGGCUGGAGGAGGCGGCGGCGGUGACUGAGACCGAGGAGGAGUGGGCGGCCCCCGGCGGGAUCUGCCUGCACGUGGACCGGGAUCAGGUGUCGGUGGAGUUCUGCUCCAUCUGUGCUCGGCGGGCAGCGGCCUCCUUCAAAAUUUUCUCUUUUAGGUGGUUGCCCUGCCAGGCUCCGUUGUGUAGGGGUUAAAGAACAGUCGUUUCCCACCUCGCAACCUGGUAAGGAUCAAUAUAUUCCCAUAAUGUGGUAUCAGACAGCUUGCUUUGCUUAUCCCAGUCUCUUGUAAUGACUGGUUCAGAAAAUUAUUUUUCUGUCCUUGGCCUACUCUGCCAAAAUGAUUCUAGCUCUGGAUGACAAUUUAUAGCAAAGGUUACAAUCACAUCAGUCUCAUUAGCUGUUUUCCUUUUUUCGUUUUUGAAACAACUACACUGGUUACAUAGUAGCCAAUAUAGCAGCUACAUUUUGAAUUUUAUAAAAAUGCUCAUGCAUUUGAAAUAGAAAUUUCCUAUUUAACCAAGUAUCUGAUGAGCAGAAAAAGGAAAACAUGCUAAUAAGGGGGAUGUGACACUUACUGCCUUUUAUUACAGGGGAUUGGCCCAAAAGUCUAAGUAAAUUGCUUUUUGAAUGAAAAAAAGGAAAGGAAUUGGUGACCUGUUGGUUUAAAAUGCUGUCUAGUAUUAGGGAUGCACAGUACCGUUCAAAAGCCCUUCUCUACUUGCUCUAAUUCACAGUGCAGAGUUUUACCUGAUGAAACAGCCUGAGCACUGGUUAAAUCACUGCAGAGGAAUCCUCACAUAGAGGAGUUGCUCUUGCAUGGACCUCUGAGGAGAAUUAGGUUUGAAGAAUCAGUGCAUCAAAGUAACUCAUUACUUUACCUUCCCAUGAGUAAAUCUCUGUGCCCAGGCACACUGAAAUUCCUGUGUUACUUCAGAGUAGCUUUACAUUUUAAAAAUAUUGCAUGUAUAUGCAUGUGCUUAACUCUACUGUAGAGUUCUUAAUUAAGCCUCUUACAGUAUCCAGAAAUCUAUAACCUGACAUAAUUAUAGCACAGUUUGGAGAUAAGGAAAUACGUAUCUUGAGGCUAAUGAUAGGAAAAACGCUCCAUAAUUGCUCCUGAGAUAGGAGGAGAAAUAGUUUGACAAAAAAAAUAGUGUGUGUUUUCUUGUAGUAGUCAGUGUUUCUCCCUGUCACAAAAGAUGAGUGGGUUCUUUUUUCAGUUGUAUUACAAUGUUUAGGUUGUUUAAAUGUAUGUCAGUUGGGGGAAGAAGGAUUGUGAAAAUGAUAAUAUGUAAAGUGAGGUUUCACAAAGAAUACUUUUCUAAAACAGAUUAUUUUUUUUUAAUUAUGCUAUUUAGUGUUUUUGAAGUCUUGUUUCUUAAAGCCUUAAAUUUUGUGUUUAAGGCUAAGUAGAUGAAAGCAUUUCUCUGAGUCAGUUGCUUCAUUGGUGCUAGACCUUGUCAUGUGUUCAUCAGUAGAAAAGGAGUUUGAUUUUUCUUUGUGAAACAUCACUGUGUGAUAAAGUAUAUGUGUAUUUAGCAUCCUUGUUUUUCUUUAUGCUAAAGUGGAUUCAGCUGUGUUGGGGCAGAAGAGACGGGACCAGCUGCUGGCCACAUUUCCUGCUUUAUUUUAAAAGGUAAGUGGUUCUGUUGGUUUAAGUCUGAUGGCUUCCGGAGCUAUGACAAUUCUCUGUCAUGUAAAAUACUUGGUCCAUGGGAAUCUCCAGUCGGGGUGAUUAAGGUAAGGCCAAGCUGUCUGGGUGCAGACCAGGAUGGGAAAACCACGUCACACAGCAACACUGAAUCAAGAAAACUGAAUGAUCUCUACCCGACAACAAAAGGGAGUCUGCAUCGCUGCUGCUCCUGGGUAUAGAUAAAGAAUGUGUCAUGUUCCUGCUGUAAUGACCCAUUUUUAAGGAAAAGGUAGAUAAAGAUGAUGAAACUCCUUCAAUAUAUUUUUAUCAGCAUUACAGCAUAAAUUUAACCACUUUUAAUUAAAGGUCUCAAUGCUGAAUUCUUAAUUCUCAUUAAUAAAUAUUUCCAUGUGCAUCAGGGGAUGCUAGAAUUGUACUGAAUUGACUGUUUGCCAAUAACUGUACAGCUUUUACAGUUAGAGAAACAUUUAGGUUUGGAAAAGACCCCCAGGACCAUCGAGUCCAACCUUUCACUCAUCACCAGCUCCUUGACUAGACCAUGGCACUGAGUGCCACAUCCAGUGGUUUCUUGAACACCUCUAGGGAUGGUGACUCCUGCCACCUCCUGGGCAGUCCAUUCCAAUGCUUAACAAGCCUUUCUGAAACGAAAUUCCUCCUGAUGUUCAACCUGAAACUUCCCCAGCAGCAUUUGAGGCCAUUUCCUCUUGUCCCGUCAUUUGUUCCGUGGGAGAAGAAGCCAACCCCCACCUACAGCAGGUUAAGGCCAUACAGCAGAUUGGGAGUAUUGCUUCUGUAGAAGAAUUCCUGAAUUGGCUCUCAGACUGCAGAAUACACUAAGGACACCUCAGGCAGUAGGAGAGCUGCAUUUUAUAUUGCUCUAGAAUAUACAGCCACCAAUGUGAAGACACACCCAACUCAUAAAUGUAUUACUCUGGACCACAGAUCUUGGAUGUAGGCGAAAUAACCCAGUAAUGGCACCAGCACUCAAAGGCCUCUCACACACCCCCAUCCUUCAGGAAAAGACUUAAUUUCAAGGCAAAAUGGUUGCAAAGCCAAAGGCUGUUUUUUUGAUAUGCUGGGAAGCCUGACAGGACUAUCACUCCUGAUUGCUCUGUGAUAAAAGUGUUCUCUACAGUGUGACCCAUCCAACAGUGUAAAAGAGGUAAUCUUGUGACAAAAGUGUUGUUCCAGCAGAAUGGCAAAAAGGGAAAAAAAGACUCAGAUUUUUAGUAGAUCUCUAGUAAAACCUUGCCUUGAGCUUCCCCCUUUUGGUUGCAGGUUUUUUUGGGUUUUGUGGUUUGGUUUUGGGGUUUUUUUGGGUUUGUUUGUUUGUUUGUUUUUUGGUUUUGUUUUUUUUUAAAUAAAUCUCUAUGGUUUGCAUUAUGAUGGAAAAAAUCUCUUUUUCAAGAAUACUGAUUUUUUACAGCUUCUAAAAGUUGUAGCAUCACCUUGGAACCAAACAUUAAGCAGGAACUAUAACUGCUUUAUUUACUCCCACUUCCAAAGCAACACACCUGUCUGCUAUUCAGGUGUAUACAC